UGGAGAGAAGACGCUGUGACAUGAUGAUCUCACGCUCAGUGAAGUGAAACUAAACUCAACUCCGCCGGGGGACGGGAAGUGACGUCACGUCGUCAGGGCAACAACAGGAAGCAGGACUGACGUUUGUUGUUUUGUUUUUUUGACGUGAUGCUGCAGGACCUCUGUCACCAUGUCAACACACUCAGGAGGGAUCUGAUUGGCUGCUGCAGGUCGUGUGGUUAUCCAGAGGCGAGCAGAGGGAAGCAGUUUCCCGCUGACGAGGUUUGUCAGCAGCACAUCGACUCUGUAACAUCAGACAGGAUCUGAUGGUGACUGAAGUCCAGAGGAAGUCGACACUCGUCCAGACUGUCAAAGAUGAACACAACCUGGAACUCUUCAAACCUGCACAUUCCUGCUUCUUUGGUUUCAUUAAAAGAAGUGAUGUGCUGUUUCCCUUUCUGCA
Acanthopagrus latus (yellowfin seabream) is the source of this 442-nucleotide long non-coding RNA. RefSeq lists it as uncharacterized. The transcript has 2 exons. The record is from RefSeq and is a predicted model, not a curated record. NCBI's taxonomy places the organism in Eukaryota, Metazoa, Chordata, Actinopteri, Spariformes, Sparidae.